Molecule: ribosomal RNA, 426 nt
Filed under: uncultured bacterium
Lineage: Bacteria
Description: bacterial SSU rRNA
Rfam family: Bacterial small subunit ribosomal RNA
Source: RNAcentral
GGGGAAUUUUGGACAAUGGGGGCAACCCUGAUCCAGCCAUGCCGCGUGCGGGAAGAAGGCCUUCGGGUUGUAAACCGCUUUUAGCCGGGAAGAAAAGGCGCGGGCUAAUACCUCGUGUUUUUGACGGUACCGGCGGAAUAAGCACCGGCUAACUACGUGCCAGCAGCCGCGGUAACACGUAGGGGGCAAGCGUUGUCCGGAUUUAUUGGGCGUAAAGAGCUCGUAGGCUGUUCGAUAAGUCGGGUGUGAAACCUCCAGGCUCAACCUGGAGACGCCACCCGAUACUGUCAUGACUAGAGUCCGGUAGGGGAGCGUGGAAUUCCUGGUGUAGCGGUGAAAUGCGCAGAUAUCAGGAGGAACACCAGCGGCGAAGGCGGCGCUCUGGGCCGGUACUGACGCUGAGGAGCGAAAGCGUGGGUAGCAAAC